GAUUGAGAAGAAACUUCCAGCCUCCAUGGAGGUCCAGAAGGUGAAGGGACUCCUGUACCGACUGCUGAAGGUUCCUGCUGCAGAUCUGAAGCUCACCUACGCCAGCCUCAAGAAAGUUGGGACGGAGUUUGAGAUCGACAGCGACCUGAAGACUCUACA
Dicentrarchus labrax (European seabass) is the source of this 159-nucleotide long non-coding RNA. RefSeq lists it as uncharacterized. The record is from RefSeq and is a predicted model, not a curated record. The transcript has 3 exons. Lineage: Eukaryota; Metazoa; Chordata; Actinopteri; Moronidae.